Molecule: ribosomal RNA, 470 nt
Filed under: uncultured bacterium
Lineage: Bacteria
Description: bacterial SSU rRNA
Rfam family: Bacterial small subunit ribosomal RNA
Source: RNAcentral
GGGCCCGCACAAGCAGCGGAGCAUGUGGUUUAAUUCGAAGCAACGCGAAGGACCUUACCAGGGCUUGACAUCCAGUGAAUCGGUAAGAGAUUACCGAGUGACCCGUAAGGGUAACACUGAGACAGGUGGUGCAUGGUUGUCGUCAGCUCGUGUCGUGAGAUGUUGGGUUAAGUCCCGCAACGAGCGCAACCCUUGUUAUUAGUUGCUAACACGCAAUGGUGAGCACUCUAAUAAGACUGCCGUGGAUAACACGGAGGAAGGUGGGGAUGACGUCAAAUCAUCAUGCCCUUUAUGUCCUGGGCAACACACGUGCUACAAUGGCUGGUACAAAGAGACGCAAGCCCGUAAGGGGGAGCAAAUCUUUAAAAAACAGUCCCAGUUCGGAUUGAGGUCUGCAACUCGACCUCAUGAAGCUGGAGUUGCUAGUAAUCGCGAAUCAGCAUGUCGCGGUGAAUACGUUCCCGGGCCUU